This 496-nucleotide ribosomal RNA is filed under the name uncultured bacterium. RNAcentral describes it as "partial 16S ribosomal RNA". It matches the Rfam family "Bacterial small subunit ribosomal RNA", at positions 28 to 506 of the family's 1533-position model. The record is from RNAcentral.
GAUGAACGCUGGCGGCGUGCCUAAUACAUGCAAGUCGAGCGAACGGACGAGAAGCUUGCUUCUCUGAUGUUAGCGGCGGACGGGUGAGUAACACGUGGAUAACCUACCUAUAAGACUGGGAUAACUUCGGGAAACCGGAGCUAAUACCGGAUGAUAUUUUGAACCGCAUGGUUCAAAAGUGAAAGACGGUCUUGCUGUCACUUAUAGAUGGAUCCGCGCUGCAUUAGCUAGUUGGUAAGGUAACGGCUUACCAAGGCAACGAUGCAUAGCCGACCUGAGAGGGUGAUCGGCCACACUGGAACUGAGACACGGUCCAGACUCCUACGGGAGGCAGCAGUAGGGAAUCUUGCGCAAUGGGCGAAAGCCUGACGGAGCAACGCGGCGUGAGUGAUGAAGGUCUUCGGAUCGUAAAACUCUGUUAUUAGGGAAGAACAUAUGUGUAAGUAACUGUGCACAUCUUGACGGUACCUAAGCAGAAAGCCACGGCUAACUACGU